RNAcentral lists this ribosomal RNA (253 nucleotides) under uncultured bacterium. RNAcentral's name for it is "partial 16S ribosomal RNA". It matches the Rfam family "Bacterial small subunit ribosomal RNA", at positions 524 to 776 of the family's 1533-position model. The record is from RNAcentral.
UACAUGGGGUGCAAACGUUGCUCGGAAUUAUUGGGCGUAAAGCGCACGUAGGCGGUCCGUUAAGUCGGAUGUGAAAUCCCCCGGCUCAACCGGGGAAGUGCAUCCGAAACUGGCGGGCUAGAGUACGAAAGAGGGUCGCGGAAUUCCCGGUGUAGAGGUGAAAUUCGUAGAUAUCGGGAGGAACACCGGUGGCGAAGGCGGCGACCUGGGUCGAUACUGACGCUGAGGUGCGAAAGCAUGGGGAGCGAACAGG